RNAcentral lists this transfer RNA (64 nucleotides) under Ptenothrix huangshanensis. RNAcentral's name for it is "tRNA-Thr". The record is from RNAcentral. Lineage: Eukaryota; Metazoa; Arthropoda; Collembola; Symphypleona; Dicyrtomidae.
GUCUUCUUAAUUUAAUAAAAAAUAUUGGUCUUGUAAACCAAAAAUCAAUGUAAUUGAGUAGACU